GGCCUGGUAGCUCAGUCGGUAGAGCAGCGGAUUGAAAAUCCGCGUGUCGAUGGUUCGAUUCCGUCCCAGGCCACCA
RNAcentral lists this transfer RNA (76 nucleotides) under Gammaproteobacteria bacterium CG22_combo_CG10-13_8_21_14_all_40_8. Its description in RNAcentral is "tRNA-Phe". It matches the Rfam family "tRNA". Rfam says of the family: Transfer RNA (tRNA) molecules are approximately 80 nucleotides in length. Their secondary structure includes four short double-helical elements and three loops (D, anti-codon, and T loops). The record is from RNAcentral. Lineage: Bacteria; Pseudomonadati; Pseudomonadota; Gammaproteobacteria.